Molecule: long non-coding RNA, 1430 nt
Filed under: Numida meleagris (helmeted guineafowl)
Lineage: Eukaryota; Metazoa; Chordata; Aves; Galliformes; Numididae
Description: lncRNA (ENSNMEG00000014776.1)
Source: RNAcentral
GUCUAGAGUAAAUAUAUCACAGUUUAAAAUACCCAACAGGACAGGUUGCAAGGGGAUGGCACUUGAAUCCUAAUCAGCUUCUGGCCUGUUUUCCUACCUCUAGUUACAGGAAUAACCUCCCCUCUCUUAGUAUUUAUAACCCCGAUUCUGCUGGGGAAUUGUUUGUUCUAUACAUCAAACGGGAUUUGAGAUGAUUUUCCCUUUAUUCAAAAGAAAUUGAACCUGAUUUUAGCUUCUUCUUUUCACCCAAAGAGCAUCCAGUGGGAAUUGACAAAAGUCAAUUCAAUGCUUUAGUUUCAGUUACAUUUGUUCUUUCAAGAAAGGUAAAGUGUGUCAGGAGAACUACCUCUGCUUCUAGAGCAACCUUCCUAUCCUCACAGUGCUAAUGAUACCUCCCAGUAGCCCCAGCAGAGCUAACAUCUUCUUGUUCAGAUUGCACGAUCUCAGCAUGUCUCAAGUUUCAUGAAAAAUAAUUCUCAGGGUCUUCCCUCAAAAGUGAAUGUCUUUCUAAUAUCUUCAGGAAGGACAUCCAAGGGCAUGGGAUGGUUUUGCUUGGUUCCAUUAACUGAUACAGAGUAAAAUUUUCUUCUUUCCAGGACUGCAGUCGUUGCUCUUCAUCCAGUACGCAAACACAGAAGAAAAAAAGAAAAAAGAAUGUAAUUUUUCUCUGCUGUUCCCUUGUUACCAGCACAAUAUGAAAAAAAUAUUCAAAAGCUCUGGUCUUUGCCACGAUUUCUCUCCUCCUUACUCAUUUCAGAGUACAGACACCAGCUCAGAUCGGUCACCCUAUGCACUCCUCACAGUCACUGGACUAAAGCAGCCUCUUGUAGGACACUGUUCAUCUCAUCCAGAGGGAUAAAAUCCUGCAAGUGCCUACUUCUUACUGCAGUCAACAAGAGGAGACUACAGUGAACUGACUUGAUCAGGUUAGAUGUUUGGAAGAAUUUCUUCUCAGAAAGAGUGGUGAGGCACUGGCACAGGCUGCCUAGGGAUGUGGUGGAGUCACUGUCCCUGGAGGUGUUCAAGAACUGUUGAGAUAUGGCGCUGAAAGACGUGGUUGGAGGGCAUGGAGGGGAUGGAUUGGCGGUUGGACUUGAUGAUCUUAGAGGUCUUUUCCAACCUUAAUGAUUCUAUGAUUUUAUGAUUCUAUGACUUCAGAGGCCCUGGAGCUCUCUCAAAGGUUACUGAAGAAGCCCUUGACACCAGCGGCCUGACCUGGCCCUUUGCUGAGAGGUAUUGCACUGGGAAGAAGUAGCAGAAGCAAAAACGUGCUUUGAGCUCAGUUGCUGCACUUCGAGCUUGAUAUAUCACCCAGUAUCAUCAGUGAGAACUGAUGCCCUGUACCUGAGAUAUGAGCGCCUACUUCUCUUCUUCACAGGAAUACUCUGGCAUACAGCCUGUUGACUAGCCUGUGCUUCUUUCUGAAGACA